GUUGCACCCAUCCCUCCCGGAAGCGCUCAGGCUCCACGUCAGCCAUGGAGGCGUCCGGCAGUCAGAGCGGGACUGGCGCGGCUCCUGCACCCGCGGACUCAGCCUCGGCUUCGGUGACCCUGGCGCAGCUCCUGCAGCUGGUCCAGCAGGGCUGGGGACUCCCCGGCCUGGAGAGGCGCCACGUCGUGGCGACCCUCGGCGAACCCACGGCGUCCCGGCUCCCGCGGAGGCCCAAGCCCUGGGAGGCCUCGGGCUCCGCCGACGACCCCGUGCCGCCCUUCCAGACCCGGGGCCACAGGCCCGACGACCCUUCCUAUGGGCAGAGGACCCUCCUGGAAGAACCUGGCUCCGGGGAGACUGCGACAGCGCCUUCCUAGAUGGCACAUAGUGGGUUCCUGAGGCUCGAGGUCCUUUGCAGCUGUGAAUGAAAAAUGUUGCUGCCCUAUCUGCAAAGGACGCUGCAGCCAUCUAGCCAUCAGCCAGUGCUGCGGCCCCGUCGGCGAGCCCUAGGGAACCGAGGAUGGAGACAGAUGGGCCGCCGGCUGCCAAGCCCUCAGCCACUGCAGACACUACCAACGGCGCACCCUGAGGGGGCUCAAGAUGGGAAAGAACAGGAUACUGGCCUUGGAUAGCUAAGGCGCAUAUCAAAGGCAAGGCGUCAGUGAGCCCAGACUCUUGCAUCUACCUGUUCACAGAAAAAAGCUCAAUUCAUUAACGUGAGAUGUCGUCUACAGUUUUGGUGACCAUGGAGAGAACCAGAGCAGACUUCUCCUCUUCGCCUGAACUCUACGAGGAACCGGACCCUUGGUACUGGCAGAGGCUUCUUGUGCCCAUCCGCCUCCUUGGAGAGUUCAUACGAACUUGGGUUCACUCUUGAGCCAGUUAACUGUGAAAUAAAAUUCAUGUUUUAUGGAAAGAGAAGAAAAAUUUAAACAAAAAAUCUUCUCUGCCUUUUGGCCUCCUCUCUCCCACCACUGUGCAUUGUGUAUCUUGCAUUAUGCAUUGACCAAACCUUUACCAGCGGCGGAAAUUUCUACUCAACCAUAAAGAGCAACAUUCUCCUAAGACAGUUCCUUAAAGGUAACAUUCCUUUUUGAUAAGGGGUCACAUGGUGCUCAGAUGUGGAUUAUGUAAAUUGUCAAUAAUAUGUCAUUUGAUGUACAGCCCUCCUCUGUCUCAAAAAGCAUAUAUAACUGUAUCUUGACUUCUAAUGGGCGGAACAAUUCUCAGGGCUUUGUGAGAUGCUCUUCCUGGGUUAUAACCCUCAAUUUUGGCUCGAAUAAAAUUUUUAAGAUCGACUGAUUAAAAUUUUUCAUCGACAUAUGCUUGGUGUAGUCAGCAGGAUAUCAGAGACUCCUGCCAGAGGCCACCGGGAGUCUAUGCAGAAACAGUGCUUGGUGCCAGCAUGGGCCCAUUGAGCCCCAUCUGCUUCUCAGCACUCCCCAGGUGUUUUUGGUGGGUUCUCCUGAUAUUUGGAUCUCAUUGUUUGGGUGUUGAUCCUAAAAAUUUUAUUUGAGCUGGUUUUCACUUAAGACUUAGAGUCUUAAGGGCCACCGGUGCAUUUCCUAGGGCGUCUGGGCAAGAGGCCCAGGGAAACAUGUGGCUGGGGUUUUGUUAAAUUUGGCUUAAAAAAAAAAAAAAAAAAAAAAGUUGAUCUAUGGUCUGAACAAAACUUUUGCUAGUGAAAUCAGAGACUGAAUUAUUCAGCGCCAAAGAAUAAAGGGACAUUUUGCUCCUUCCAGCCACAAGCCAUCCUCAGAUGACUGAGGAUCUUUGGGAAGUGUCUGAGGAUCAAUUUUCAUGACGUGUAGCAGUCCCAUAGGGAAACCCCAUUACAGUCAUUAAGUAAGUACUGCUCAUCCAGGCGGCGUGACAGAGGCUGAUCACCUAGUGUUCCGAGCAUCCAAGAUGGUUUUAGGCUGUAAUUGGGAGAAACUGAGCCACCUAAAAGAAGUCGAACCAGGGAAUUCCCUGGUGGUCCAGUGGUUAGGACUCUCUGCUUUCACUGCCGGAGGCCCAGGUUCAACCCCUGGUCAGGGAACUAAGAUCCAGCAAGCCACAUGGUGCAGCCAGAAAAAAAAGGUUAGUAUCUGCAGAUUUUGGUAACUUGAAACUAAACCAAGGUAAAUUAUGAGAAUUCAUUCACUAUCUGGGUCAUUUCAAACAGGAUAAAAUUCUGGAACAUUAAUUGCUGGGGAGGUCUAAGUUCUUAGAAGAGGAAAACUAAAGCAUAAGCAUAAGUUUGUCAAUCAGGAAAUGCUGAUAUGACAAACAGCAUUUUUAUUUAUUUUUUUUGGCUGUGCCAUGUGCGGCAUGCAGGAUCUAGUUCCCUGACCAGGGAUCGAACUCGUGCCCCCUGCAGUGGAAGCUCGGAGUCCUAACCACUGGACCACCAGGGAAUUCCAGAGAAAAAUUAAGGUUUUAAGUUUAAGAAUUAUAAGGGAAACAUUUCAGUAUGCAAGGAAGUAGGAUGUGUGUUUUCAGCAAAGAAGGUAUGAGGAUUGAAAAUGCAUUUUGUUAAAGGAAAAAAGGUUUUGUCCUAGAGCUGGUUGUUUCUGAAUAGAUACAGAAAGUUGUGGAAAGUUUGUGGAAAAAGAACACUGAGAGUUUUGUGCAUGGUCAAAAUUGGCUGAGAUAAGAUUGAACUUAAUUAAGGAACUGUUUUUUUGUUUUUUUUUUGCGGUACGCGGGCCUCUCACUGUUGUGGCCUCUCCCGUUGCGGAGCACAGGCUCCGGACACACAGGCCCAGCGGC
Molecule: non-coding RNA, 2754 nt
Organism: Delphinapterus leucas (beluga whale)
Lineage: Eukaryota; Metazoa; Chordata; Mammalia; Artiodactyla; Monodontidae
Source: RefSeq, a predicted model, not a curated record